RNAcentral lists this ribosomal RNA (137 nucleotides) under Piromyces finnis. RNAcentral's name for it is "5.8S ribosomal RNA". It matches the Rfam family "5.8S ribosomal RNA". Rfam says of the family: 5.8S ribosomal RNA (5.8S rRNA) is a component of the large subunit of the eukaryotic ribosome. It is transcribed by RNA polymerase I as part of the 45S precursor that also contains 18S and 28S rRNA. The record is from Rfam by way of RNAcentral. Lineage: Eukaryota; Fungi; Neocallimastigomycota; Neocallimastigomycetes; Neocallimastigales; Neocallimastigaceae.
AACUUUUGACAAUGGAUCUCUUGGUUCUCGCAACGAUGAAGAACGCAGCAAAAUACGAUAAGUAGUGUGAAUUGCAGAAUACGUGAAUCAUCGAAUCUUUGAACGCAUAUUGCACAUAUAUAGCUUAUUCAUUUUUA